ACGCUCGACACCUACGGGGAGACAGCAGUGAGGAAUAUUGGUCAAUGGGCGCAGGCCUGAACCAGCCAAGUAGCGUGAAGGAUGACUGCCCUAUGGGUUGUAAACUUCUUUUAUAUGGGAAUAAAGUUUUCCACGUGUGGAAUUUUGUAUGUACCAUAUGAAUAAGGAUCGGCUAACUCCGUGCCUGCAGCCGCGGUAAUCUGAGCGGGCUGGCAAGGC
RNAcentral lists this ribosomal RNA (219 nucleotides) under uncultured bacterium. Its description in RNAcentral is "partial 16S ribosomal RNA". It matches the Rfam family "Bacterial small subunit ribosomal RNA", at positions 328 to 539 of the family's 1533-position model. The record is from RNAcentral.